This 244-nucleotide unclassified non-coding RNA is filed under the name Hevea brasiliensis (rubber tree). The record is from RNAcentral. Lineage: Eukaryota; Viridiplantae; Streptophyta; Magnoliopsida; Malpighiales; Euphorbiaceae.
CAGGAACAUCAGAGGAAGAUGAUCAUGAUGUUUCUGCUGGUGAAUAUGGACAAGUUGGGCCACGUACUGCAUGUCAUUGUCAGGUCAUCAGAAGUGUCUGUCAAUGGUCUGCUGGAGCCAGCCAAACUGAAGAAAGCAUCCACUAUGCUUAUUGUUCUCUUGUUGAGAAGGCACAACAUUUUAUCUACAUAGAGAAUCAGUUUUUCAUAUCAGGCCUUUUUGGAGAUGAGAUUAUACAGAACCG